UGGGGAAUUUUGCACAAUGGGGGAAACCCUGAUGCAGCGACGCCGCGUGAUUUAGAAGGCCUUCGGGUUGUAAAAAUCUUUUGUAUAGGAAGAAAAUGACAGUACUAUACGAAUAAGGACCGGCUAAUUACGUGCCAGCAGCCGCGGUAAUACGUAAGGUCCGAGCGUUGUCCGGAAUCAUUGGGCGUAAAGGGUACGUAGGCGGGUAAGCAAGUUAGAAGUGAAAUAAUAUAGCUCAACUAUAUAAAGCUUUUAAAACUGCUAGGCUUGAGAGAUGGAAGGGAAAGUGGAAUUCCUAGUGUAGCGGUGAAAUGCGCAGAUAUUAGGAAGAAUACCGGUGGCGAAGGCGACUUUCUGGUCAUCAUCUGACGCUGAGGUACGAAAGCGUGGGUAGCAAACAGG
Molecule: ribosomal RNA, 402 nt
Filed under: Bacteroidota bacterium
Lineage: Bacteria; Pseudomonadati; Bacteroidota
Description: Bacteroidetes bacterium partial 16S ribosomal RNA
Rfam family: Bacterial small subunit ribosomal RNA
Source: RNAcentral